RNAcentral lists this ribosomal RNA (429 nucleotides) under Gemmatimonadota bacterium. Its description in RNAcentral is "Gemmatimonadetes bacterium partial 16S ribosomal RNA". It matches the Rfam family "Bacterial small subunit ribosomal RNA", at positions 355 to 776 of the family's 1533-position model. The record is from RNAcentral. Lineage: Bacteria; Pseudomonadati; Gemmatimonadota.
UAGGGAAUCUUCGGCAAUGGACGAAAGUCUGACCGAGCAACGCCGCGUGAGUGAAGAAGGUUUUCGGAUCGUAAAACUCUGUUGUUAGAGAAGAACAAGGACGUUAGUAACUGAACGUCCCCUGACGGUAUCUAACCAGAAAGCCACGGCUAACUACGUGCCAGCAGCCGCGGUAAUACGUAGGUGGCAAGCGUUGUCCGGAUUUAUUGGGCGUAAAGCGAGCGCAGGCGGUUUCUUAAGUCUGAUGUGAAAGCCCCCGGCUCAACCGGGGAGGGUCAUUGGAAACUGGGAGACUUGAGUGCAGAAGAGGAGAGUGUAAUUCCAUGUGUAGCGGUGAAAUGCGUAGAUAUAUGGAGGAACACCAGUGGCGAAGACGGCUCUCUGGUCUGUAACUGACGCUGAGGCUCGAAAGCGUGGGGAGCAAACAGG